Molecule: ribosomal RNA, 112 nt
Filed under: Microcystis aeruginosa Ma_MB_F_20061100_S20D
Lineage: Bacteria; Bacillati; Cyanobacteriota; Cyanophyceae; Chroococcales; Microcystaceae
Also listed under: 1 other name
Source: RNAcentral
AAUGGUGAGUAAGCACAGGUGUUCACCUCUUCCCAUUCCGAACAGAGAAGUUAAGCCCUUGUCGCGCCGAUGGUACUGCCUUCACCGGUGGGAGAGUAGGUUCUCGCCAACC